GGAAGAUAGUUUACUUAUCAACCAGAGUAAAACGUCAACGUUCCCAACGGUCAGUUUUAUCUAUACUUAUCGUCUUUGGUACCAAUACCAAAAGCAAAAAGAUUGGAGGACAUUAACUUGAGAGGUUAGCCACACAAACCAACACCAGUGUAAUUCCACAAGUGGGAUCGCGGAGGGUGGAUACACGGCCCUUAACCAUAUCUUAUGAAGGUAAAUAGGCUAUUUUAAUGUUUUCAGGCAUUACAAAAUGACAAAGGUAAAUUGUAACCUCAUCCAUAUGUUGUAAGAUGCUUUCUGCAUGCAUGUGU
This 308-nucleotide unclassified non-coding RNA is filed under the name Hevea brasiliensis (rubber tree). The record is from RNAcentral. Lineage: Eukaryota; Viridiplantae; Streptophyta; Magnoliopsida; Malpighiales; Euphorbiaceae.